AGUGAACGCUGGCGGUAGGCCUAACACAUGCAAGUCGAACGGCAGCACAGUAAGAGCUUGCUCUUACGGGUGGCGAGUGGCGGACGGGUGAGGAAUACAUCGGAAUCUACUUUUUCGUGGGGGAUAACGUAGGGAAACUUACGCUAAUACCGCAUACGACCUACGGGUGAAAGCAGGGGAUCUUCGGACCUUGCGCGAUUGAAUGAGCCGAUGUCGGAUUAGCUAGUUGGCGGGGUAAAGGCCCACCAAGGCGACGAUCCGUAGCUGGUCUGAUAGGAUGAUCAGCCACACUGGAAGUGAGACGCGGUCCAGACUCCUACGGGAGGCAGCAGUGGGGAAUAUUGGACAAUGGGCGCAAGCCUGAUCCAGCCAUACCGCGUGGGUGAAGAAGGCCUUCGGGUUGUAAAGCCCUUUUGUUGGGAAAGAAAAGCAUCAGGUUAAUACCCCGCUGUUCUGACGGUACCCAAAGAAUAAGCACCGGCUAACUUCGUG
This 492-nucleotide ribosomal RNA is filed under the name uncultured bacterium. RNAcentral's name for it is "partial 16S ribosomal RNA". It matches the Rfam family "Bacterial small subunit ribosomal RNA", at positions 29 to 507 of the family's 1533-position model. The record is from RNAcentral.